UAUUGGUCAAUGGACGAAAGUCUGACGGAGCAACGCCGCGUGAGUGAUGAAGGUUUUCGGAUCGUAAAACUCUGUUGUUAGGGAAGAACAAGUAACGUUCGCAUAGGGCGGUACCUUGACGGUACCUAACCAGCAAGCCACGGCUAACUACGUGCCAGCAGCCGCGGUAAUACGUAGGUGGCAAGCGUUGUCCGGAAUUAUUGGGCGUAAAGCGCGCGCAGGCGGUUUCUUAAGUCUGAUGUUAAAGCCCCCGGCUCAACCGGGGAGGGUCAUUGGAAACUGGGGAACUUGAGUGCAGAAGAGGAGAGUGGAAUUCCACGUGUAGCGGUGAAAUGCGUAGAGAUGUGGAGGAACACCAGUGGCGAAGGCGACUCUCUGGUCUGUAACUGACGCUGAGGCGCGAAAGCGUGGGGAGCGAACAGG
Molecule: ribosomal RNA, 423 nt
Filed under: uncultured bacterium
Lineage: Bacteria
Description: bacterial SSU rRNA
Rfam family: Bacterial small subunit ribosomal RNA
Source: RNAcentral